UUUCCGUAGGUGAACCUGCGGAAGGAUCAUUAAAGUUAUAGUCCCCCGGCCCCUCCGGGCUGGGGUCUUCUAUACCACCCUUUGUUUAUUACACCUUUGUUGCUUUGGCAGGCCUGCCCUCGGGCUGCUGGCUCCGGCCGGCUCGUGCCUGCCAGAGGACCUAAACUCUGUUUGUAUAUGAAGUCUGAGUACUAUAUAAUAGUUAAAACUUUCAACAACGGAUCUCUUGGUUCUGGCAUCGAUGAGAACGCAGC
Molecule: unclassified non-coding RNA, 254 nt
Filed under: plant metagenome
Description: partial contains small subunit ribosomal RNA, internal transcribed spacer 1, and 5.8S ribosomal RNA
Rfam family: 5.8S ribosomal RNA (bases 207-254)
Source: RNAcentral